ACAUAAAUCACAGAAGUAACUUGUAACAAUCUUGUUUGAAUGUUACAGGGACAGAUGAGCACACACAUGUGCUUAUCCGGUGGAGAGUGGCUAAUGAGGCCCUCUUCACCGGAAAACGAAAUGCAGCCAUCAAAGGCUUUGAAGCUUUUGUGAUGGAGCAGGGCCUGCAAGACAGGGUGACGGCGGCCUUUGU
This is a long non-coding RNA of Sinocyclocheilus rhinocerous, 193 nucleotides long. RefSeq lists it as uncharacterized. The transcript has 2 exons. Lineage: Eukaryota; Metazoa; Chordata; Actinopteri; Cypriniformes; Cyprinidae. The record is from RefSeq and is a predicted model, not a curated record.